Molecule: long non-coding RNA, 405 nt
Filed under: Sphaeramia orbicularis (orbiculate cardinalfish)
Lineage: Eukaryota; Metazoa; Chordata; Actinopteri; Kurtiformes; Apogonidae
Description: lncRNA (ENSSORG00005020661.1)
Source: RNAcentral
CGCGGCCCCGAAGCAGGAACCAGGUCCGGAUUCCAUGUUGAGGAGGGGCACCGCGGGUCCAGGUUUAAGGCCGGCUGAAUUCACAGGAUGAGUCUCAGUGAAGACAAGGAUUGUUCAUCAUCGCCCAUCAGUGAUCCUGGUCCAGAUCCAGUCCACCAUGGACCCCAGACCUCCAACACACAAGCUCAGUGGAUCAGAACCAGACCAGAGUCUUCAGUGUCCGUCUGUCUGUCUAUGAAGAGUGACUGGUCUAAAGACCCACCUCCAUGCUUCAGUCCUGGACCUGGACCUGGACCUGGACCUUCAGACCCACAGUAAGUCUGUCUUCUCCUGGACAGUCCUUUGGUUCCUCUUCUUUGGUUUAAAUCCAGUGCAGACUAGUUUUUCCUUUGGUUCCGUCUCAUU